GCAAUAGAAUAUGGAUUUUAAAAAAUUUUUAACAUGCAUAAAAAGAGUUUUAACGCUUAAAACCAGUAUAUCAAAACUCAAACCCUAAAAUCAUCUUGUAGACUCCAAUCAAACUAUUUAAGCAUGCAAUAGGAUAGAAAUUAUACUUUCUAAAGAAGAUAAUCAGAUGGCAAAAUGAUCUCUAUAAGGCUCCAAAGUAGAU
RNAcentral lists this long non-coding RNA (202 nucleotides) under Elaeis guineensis (African oil palm). Its description in RNAcentral is "long non-coding RNA (EGUI_LNC055613)". Lineage: Eukaryota; Viridiplantae; Streptophyta; Magnoliopsida; Arecales; Arecaceae. The record is from RNAcentral.